GGAGUUUCAGAGAGGUGGUGCAUGGCCGUCGUCAGUUCGUACCGUAAGGCGUUCUCUUAAGUGAGAUAACGAACGAGACCCUCACCGAUAAUUGCUACUUCUUCCUCCGGGGAGGAGGCACAUUAUCGGGACCGCUGGCGCUAAGCCAGAGGAAGGAGAGGUCAACGGUAGGUCAGUAUGCCCCGAAUCUCUUGGGCUACACGCGCGCUACAAAGGGCGGGACAAUGGGCUCCGACGCCGAGAGGCGGAGGCAAUCCCGAAACCCGUCCGUAGUUCGGAUUGAGGGCUGUAACCCGCCCUCAUGAAGCUGGAUCCGUAGUAAUCGCGAAU
Molecule: ribosomal RNA, 330 nt
Filed under: uncultured archaeon
Lineage: Archaea
Description: bacterial SSU rRNA
Rfam family: Archaeal small subunit ribosomal RNA
Source: RNAcentral